UACAGAGGUCUCAAGCGUUGUUCGGAUUCAUUGGGCGUAAAGGGCGCGUAGGCGGCGGGGUAAGUCGGGUGUGAAAUCUCAGAGCUCAACUCUGAAACUGCACUCGAUACUGCUCUGCUUGAGGACUGGAGAGGAGACUGGAAUUCACGGUGUAGCAGUGAAAUGCGUAGAUAUCGUGAGGAAGACCAGUGGCGAAGGCGGGUCUCUGGACAGUUACUGACGCUGAGGCGCGAAGGCCAGGGGAGCAAACGGG
This 253-nucleotide ribosomal RNA is filed under the name uncultured bacterium. Its description in RNAcentral is "partial 16S ribosomal RNA". It matches the Rfam family "Bacterial small subunit ribosomal RNA", at positions 524 to 776 of the family's 1533-position model. The record is from RNAcentral.